UAAGCCACUCUUAAUAAGCGUUCUUUUUAAGUGAUAAGGCAACGCAAUUUAAGCGUUGCCAAAUCACAAAGUAAUUGACAACGCUUAUUCAUUCAUGUGGCAACGCUUUCAGAGUGUGCUAAGCUUAUAUUCUAAAAGCAACACUUUCCAAGUGUGCUCUAAAAUAACCCAAAAAAAUAUUUUCCUCCCCCCACAAAAUUCCCCCCUUUAUUGCUUUUAGUGAAAUAUUCAAAUAUUUUCCCCAUUUUGAAAAAGCAAAUCAGGUGCUAUGACCAUCCUUUCGAAAUCGUUCGUUAAGUUUGUCUCUUCGACUCUUCGAAACCUCCGCCAAUUUUUGAAAUCUCCAUCGACACCACCUUUGUGAGUUUCUUCAGGCUUCUAGAAGUUUUACCUCCACAAGGGAUACAGGGCCACUCAAGUUCAAGGAACCGAUCCUUCACGCACUUUCGCAGAGGUUAGAUCAUUUUAUAGCUGAGUAUUGUAAAUUCUACCUAGCUUACCUAGUACCUACACCCUCCAACGCUACUAUUACAGGAAAGUUUUGGUGAGCAAAUUGGAAAUGGCAGCCAAGAGACAAUUUGAUCUGUUUGAGUUUAAUGAUGAAGACUUUGGACUACGAUUUUUUUAUUCCUGAUACUAUAAUAAUAUAUUUGAUUUUGCAAGGCUAGCAAUUUGCUUUAUUCGUUGAUGUAUUA
Nicotiana tabacum (common tobacco) is the source of this 695-nucleotide long non-coding RNA. RefSeq lists it as uncharacterized. Lineage: Eukaryota; Viridiplantae; Streptophyta; Magnoliopsida; Solanales; Solanaceae. The record is from RefSeq and is a predicted model, not a curated record.